Molecule: ribosomal RNA, 252 nt
Filed under: uncultured Bacteroidales bacterium
Lineage: Bacteria; Pseudomonadati; Bacteroidota; Bacteroidia; Bacteroidales
Description: partial 16S ribosomal RNA
Rfam family: Bacterial small subunit ribosomal RNA
Source: RNAcentral
UACGGAGGAUUCAAGCGUUAUCCGGAUUUAUUGGGUUUAAAGGGUGCGUAGGCGGGUUAUCAAGUCAGCGGUAAAAUCGUGGAGCUCAACUCCAUCCAGCCGUUGAAACUGCAUCCCUUGAGUGCGCGAGAAGUAUGCGGAAUGCGUGGUGUAGCGGUGAAAUGCAUAGAUAUCACGCAGAACUCCGAUUGCGAAGGCAGCAUACCGGCGCCCAACUGACGCUGAAGCACGAAAGCGUGGGUAUCGAACAGG